UAUCUGACUUGUAUUCAUCCACAAUCUUUGUCGCGCUUGGGUUGUCCGCUCUCCAGAUUGGGACGGCGUCUGGGCUGCUGACAUUGGCUGUGGUGCAUUUGCAGGUGGUGUGCGCCGAGACUCCCGUGUUGGCUGCAUGAUCUUGAUGUUGAGGCCAGCUUGCUGGUACCCACACCAGGGGAGUGUUGUUCAGCAUGAGUGUACAUUUUUGGGCAUGGCUCACGAGCCAGGGUUGGGCCAAUCUGGAAGUCAGUGGCGGUCGCAUGCGACACGUGCUGUGCAACCAGUUCGGUCCUGCUUUCGGCUCUCGUGUCCGCUCUCGGUGUAAAAGCUGGUCAUCUGUCCGACCCGUCUUGAAACACGGACCAAGGAGUUUAUCGUGUGCGCAAGUCAUUGGGCGUUUAAAACCCAAAGGCGCAAUGAAAGUAAAUGCAUCCGCAAGGAGCUGACGUGCGAUCCUGGGCAUCGCGGUGCCCGGGCGCAGCAUGGCCCCAUCCCGACUGCAUGCAGUGGGGUGGCGGUAGAGCGUACGCGAUGAGACCCGAAAGAUG
Molecule: ribosomal RNA, 551 nt
Filed under: Hirschmanniella sp. 1 AT-2013
Lineage: Eukaryota; Metazoa; Nematoda; Chromadorea; Rhabditida; Pratylenchidae
Description: eukaryotic LSU rRNA
Rfam family: Eukaryotic large subunit ribosomal RNA
Source: RNAcentral